AGAAAACAAGAGAGGAAAGAAAGAAAAUAAGGAAAACAAACCCUAGCCAAGGAAAAUUCAAGAGAAAGUGUGAAAAUCCAAGGAAUAAACAAGGUAAAGUGAAAAUUCUUUAUUUUUACUUGAGAUUUACAAUACCCAUGCUUUAUUUUCUUAUUUCUAUGGUUGAGAAGUAUGAUUUCAUAGUGAAUAAGUCGUAGGCCGAAUGGGUAUGGUGAGAGAAAUGAUAUUGGAAUUGUUUUAUUUUAAGUUAUGUUAGUGAUUAAGGUUAGUUUAGCAUAUUUAGAAGCAAAACAACAAGAAAAGAAUCCAUUUUCCCCAUGAAUCUUCAUUGGCCGAAUCUUCCUUGAUGUGUGUGGGUGAUGGAUUGUUAUUAUUUCAAGAGAAAUGGCUUAGAAAAUGAUGAAUAAUGGUGAGAAAAUUAAGUACGAAAAAUCACAGUGUUAGUGCACUGUAAUGGCCGAAUUUUUCCAUGAAGAAAUGGGAGGGUUUUGAUACUGAAAUUGGUGUUAUUUGAGUAAUGUUUGGUGAAUUGAGGUAUUAGAAAAGAAAUGGAGUAAUUUGGGAUUAAAUUGGAUGUGUUAGUAAUUUAAUCGGGUGAUAGGCCGAAUUAGGUCAACAUCGUGUUUAAGCGGUUGACCGAGCAUUCCAUGCAAUCAUUUAGAUUUAGAGGGCCUGAAAUAGUUUAUGACAAAUUGACACAAAUUAUUGAAUUUUGUGUCAUGUGUGAUGUAUAGGUGGUGAGCUAUUUGAUAAGGAUAAAGAGAUUACACUAAAGACCAGGACUAGGAGUAUUUCUACUCCUGAUACUAUGAAUAACCUUACUAUCGUCUUAAUUAUCUAAAGUGGUUUUUAUCCGAUUUUACGAUUUUAUGGAAAAUGAGUUUAAGGGGUAAAUCUUUAUGUUUUAUAAAUAAAAUGUGAUUAAAUGAAAAUGAUAUUAUAAAAUUGUCUUGAAAUUGAAUGAUGGUUUUUAAAAUAGAGUAAUUGGAGACCACUUGAUGUGUUGUAAAUUUAUGGUUUUAAAUUGAAUGGCUUAUGACAAUAAAUGAGCAUGAAUGGCUAAACUGAUUUUUAGUGUUAGAAUUAUUUAUAUUGUGUAUUCAGCCUUAAGAGGCUAGGUUGCGAUAAAUUGCCAUGUCAUGCAGAUAAAGAUUUUAUAAAUCAGAUGGUAGAUAAAAUAAUCCAUAAUUCCUUCAGUGGAGGUUCUGUGGACCAGCCUAAGAGAGGGGGCACAGAAUCAGAUAUACCUUACCUCGAUCGGAGAGUCGUGUGGAGGGUGUCUCUAAAGGUAAAGAUUUGAGUGCACUUCACGUGGAUCACCGUGUGAGAGUGAGACUCAGCCAACGCCAAGGCAUGGCUAUAUUUUCAAAUGUAAAAAUAUGUUAAUGUGUGUACUACACUGAACAGCCUUGGUGGUCUCGAUUAGAUGCUUAGGCCAAGGCAUCCUCGAGAAUGAUUUUUGCAGGAGCCAAGUUUUGUGAAAUACAUAAGCCAAGUUGAUUAUUUGAGUAAAUUGAUUAUUGAUGUUAUGAAAAACAUACUGGAAUGGAAUAUCUUGUCUCCAUUUACUCGACUUUAGAUGGUUUAGAUGGUAUCUGUUUACUCACUGGGAUUUUAUAAUCUCACCACCCUCAAUUCUCCACAUUUCAAGCUCGG
This 1656-nucleotide long non-coding RNA is filed under the name Theobroma cacao (cacao). RNAcentral describes it as "long non-coding RNA (TCAC_LNC001786)". The record is from RNAcentral. Lineage: Eukaryota; Viridiplantae; Streptophyta; Magnoliopsida; Malvales; Malvaceae.